GGAAUGAAGGUGAUGCUGUGGA
RNAcentral lists this microRNA (22 nucleotides) under Gallus gallus (chicken). RNAcentral's name for it is "gga-miR-6627-3p". The record is from miRBase by way of RNAcentral. Lineage: Eukaryota; Metazoa; Chordata; Aves; Galliformes; Phasianidae.